UUGCUGAAUGCUGCUGUCUGCUGCUGCUGAUCUUUCUUCUUCUUUUUGUUGAGCUGUUCUAAAUCCUAUUGCUGCUGUUGUAUUGCUGAAUGCUGCUAUCUGCUGCUGCUGAUCUUUCUUCUUCUUUUUGUUGAGCUGUUCUAAAUCCUAUUGUUGUUGUUGUUGUAUUGCUGAAUGCUGCUGUCUGCUGCUGCUGAUCUUUCUUCUUCUUUUUGUUGAGCUGUUCUAAAUCCUAUUGUUGUUGUUGUUGUAUUGCUGAAUGCUGAUGUACUGCUGUCUGCUGCAGUGCUGCUGCUGAUCUUUCUUCUUCUUUUUGUUGAGCUGUUCUAAAUCCUAUUGCUGUUGUUGUAUUGCUGAAUGCUGAUGUACUGCUGUCUGCUGCUGCUGAUCUUUCUUCUUCUUUUUGUUGAGCUGUUCUAAAUUUUAUUGCUGUUGUUGUUGUAUUGCUGAAUGUUGGUGUACUGCUAUCUGCUGCUGCUGAUCUUGAGUUGUUGCAGAGAAUUGUUUCUAUACACAAUUGCACAGUUAAUUUAUCUAACACUUGAACUAACAUAUUCUGAAACUUGAUACAUAUGUAGGUCUCCAGCUGAGAAUGAAAUGAAGUGGAAUCCUAUUUUUUGUUGAAAUUUCCAGUUCUACAGCUUUCAUUACAGUUUUAUUGUAAUAAUUGGACAGACGAAUUACUAAGCUUUUGUGUUUGAGCAUUUGAACUAUUAGGAUUGUGUGUGUGCUUGUUGUAAUAAUUUUUGGCGUGCGUUAAUUCUCAAAGUGUAACAUUUGGAAAGGGAUUUGUAUGAGUAUCAUUUCAAAUUGCCCAGGACAGUAUAAGGCCAUUAGACUGAAUUUUAAACUAACAGUAUAUGUUAGUUUAAAAUUAGAGAAUCAAAGUACUAUGUUGUAUUAUCUCAAUAGUUUCAGCCGUGAUAAUCAAAGUGUGCAUCCCACCUCUU
RNAcentral lists this long non-coding RNA (950 nucleotides) under Nicotiana benthamiana. RNAcentral describes it as "long non-coding RNA (NBEN_LNC027637)". Lineage: Eukaryota; Viridiplantae; Streptophyta; Magnoliopsida; Solanales; Solanaceae. The record is from RNAcentral.